ACGCUGGCGGCGUGCCUAAUACAUGCAAGUCGAGCGAAGUUUUUCUGGUGCUUGCACCGGAAAAACUUAGCGGCGAACGGGUGAGUAACACGUAAAGAACCUGCCUCAUAGACUGGGACAACUAUUGGAAACGAUAGCUAAUACCGGAUAACAGCAUUAACUGCAUGGUUGAUGUUUAAAAGUUGGUUUUGCUAACACUAUGAGAUGGCUUUGCGGUGCAUUAGCUAGUUGGUGGGGUAAAGGCCUACCAAGGCGACGAUGCAUAGCCGACCUGUGAGGGUGAUCGGCCACACUGGGACUGAGACACGGCCCAGACUCCUACGGGAGGCAGCAGUAGGGAAUCUUCCGCAAUGGGCGAAAGCCUGACGGAGCAACGCCGCGUGAGUGAAGAAGGAUUUCGGUUCGUAAAGCUCUGUUGUUAGGGAAGAAUGAUUGUGUAGUAACUAUACACAGUAGAGACGGUACCUAACCAGAAAGCCACGGCUAACUACGUGCCAGCAGCCGCGGUAAUACGUAGGUGGCAAGCGUUGUCCGGAAUUAUUGGGCGUAAAGCGCGCGCAGGUGGUUUAAUAAGUCUGAUGUGAAAGCCCACGGCUCAACCGUGGAGGGUCAUUGGAAACUGUUAAACUUGAGUGCAGGAGAGAAAAGUGGAAUUCCUAGUGUAGCGGUGAAAUGCGUAGAGAUUAGGAGGAACACCAGUGGCGAAGGCGGCUUUUUGGCCUGUAACUGACACUGAGGCGCGAAAGCGUGGGGAGCAAACAGGAUUAGAUACCCUGGUAGUCCACGCCGUAAACGAUGAGUGCUAAGUGUUGGUCUCAUAAGAGAUCAGUGCUGCAGCUAACGCAUUAAGCACUCCGCCUGGGGAGUACGACCGCAAGGUUGAAACUCAAAGGAAUUGACGGGGACCCGC
This 910-nucleotide ribosomal RNA is filed under the name uncultured bacterium. RNAcentral describes it as "bacterial SSU rRNA". It matches the Rfam family "Bacterial small subunit ribosomal RNA", at positions 33 to 924 of the family's 1533-position model. The record is from RNAcentral.